Molecule: ribosomal RNA, 486 nt
Filed under: uncultured bacterium
Lineage: Bacteria
Description: bacterial SSU rRNA
Rfam family: Bacterial small subunit ribosomal RNA
Source: RNAcentral
GGCCCAUCAGCUAGUUGGUGAGGUAAGAGCUCACCAAGGCGAAGACGGGUAGCUGGUCUGAGAGGAUGAUCAGCCACACUGGAACUGAGACACGGUCCAGACUCCUACGGGAGGCAGCAGUGGGGAAUAUUGCGCAAUGGGCGAAAGCCUGACGCAGCCACGCCGCGUGAGCGAUGAAGGCCUUCGGGUCGUAAAGCUCUGUGGGGAGAGAAGAAUAAAGCCUGUGAAGAAUGGGCCUUGACGGUAUCUCCUUAGCAAGCACCGGCUAACUCCGUGCCAGCAGCCGCGGUAAUACGGAGGGUGCAAACGUUGCUCGGAAUCAUUGGGCGUAAAGCGCACGUAGGCGGCGAAGCAAGUCGGGUGUGAAAGCCCUGGGCUCAACCCAGGAAGUGCAUUCGAAACUAUUUCGCUUGAAUCUCGGAGGGGGUCAGAGAAUUCCCGGUGUAGAGGUGAAAUUCGUAGAUAUCGGGAGGAAUACCAGUGGCG